RNAcentral lists this ribosomal RNA (502 nucleotides) under uncultured bacterium. Its description in RNAcentral is "partial 16S ribosomal RNA". It matches the Rfam family "Bacterial small subunit ribosomal RNA", at positions 29 to 507 of the family's 1533-position model. The record is from RNAcentral.
AGCGAACGCUGGCGGCGUGCCUAACACAUGCAAGUCGAACGUGAAAGGGAGCAAUCCCAAGUAAAGUGGCGUACGGGUGAGUAACACGUAGGUAAUCUACCCCAGAAUCUGGAAUAACCGGCCGAAAGGCUGGCUAAUACUGGAUAGAGCGACGGAAUCCGUAAUUGGGUUUUUCGGGAAAGGGAGCCUGUAAAAAGGCCUUCGUUCUGGGAUGAGCCUGCGUCCCAUCAGCUAGUUGGUGAGGUAAAAGCUUACCAAGGCAAUGACGGGUAGCUGGUCUGAGAGGACGAUCAGCCACACUGGAACUGAAACACGGUCCAGACUCCUACGGGAGGCAGCAGUGGGGAAUCUUGCGCAAUGGACGAAAGUCUGACGCAGCAACGCCGCGUGAGGGAAGAAGGCCUUCGGGUUGUAAAGCUCUGUCGAGUGGGACGAAAAUGCUUGGAGUUCACAGCUCCAGGAACUGACGUUACCACUAAAGGAAGCACCGGCUAACUCCGUG